AACUAACAGGAUUCCCCUAGUAACUGCGAGUGAAGCGGGAAAAGCUCAAAUUUAAAAUCUGGCGGCUUUGGUCGUCCGAGUUGUAUUCUAGAGAAGUGUUUUCCGCGUUGGACCGUGUAUAAGUCUCUUGGAACAGAGCGUCAUAGAGGGUGAGAAUCCCGUCUUUGACACGGACUACCAAUGCUUUGUGAUACACUCUCAAAGAGUCGAGUUGUUUGGGAAUGCAGCUCAAAAUGGGUGGUAAAUUCCAUCUAAAGCUAAAUAUUGGCGAGAGACCGAUAGCGAACAAGUACCGUGAGGGAAAGAUGAAAAGCACUUUGGAAAGAGAGUUAAACAGUACGUGAAAUUGCUGAAAGGGAAACGCUUGAAGUCAGUCGCGUUAUCUAGAACUCAACCAGGCUUGCUUGGCGUAUUUUCUAGUUAACGGGCCAGCAUCAGUUUUGACUGCAGGAAAAAGGCCAGGGAAAUGUGGCACCCUCGGGUGUGUUAUAGUCUCUGGUCAUAUACUGUGAUUGGGACUGAGGACCGCAGCACGCGCAAGCUGUGCUUAGGAUGCUGGCGUAAUGGCUUUAAACGACCCGUCUUGAAACACGGACCAAGGAGUCUAACAAACCUGCGAGUAUUUGGGUGGUAAACCCGAGUGCGCAAUGAAAGUGAAAGUUGGGAUCUCUGUCGUGGAGAGCACCGACGCCCGGACCAGACCUUCUGUGACGGAUCUGCGGUAGAGCAUGUUUGUUGGGACCCGAAAGAUGGUGAACUAUGCCUGAAUAGGGUGAAGCCAGAGGAAACUCUGGUGGAGGCUCGUAGCGAUUCUGACGUGCAAAUCGAUCGUCAAAUUUGGGUAUAGGGGCGAAAGACUAAUCGAACCAUCUAGUAGCUGGUUCCUGCCGAGUUUCCCCUCAGGA
RNAcentral lists this ribosomal RNA (905 nucleotides) under Irpex flavus. RNAcentral describes it as "Flavodon flavus partial large subunit ribosomal RNA". It matches the Rfam family "Eukaryotic large subunit ribosomal RNA", at positions 63 to 978 of the family's 3401-position model. Lineage: Eukaryota; Fungi; Basidiomycota; Agaricomycetes; Polyporales; Irpicaceae. The record is from RNAcentral.